This 324-nucleotide ribosomal RNA is filed under the name uncultured eukaryote. RNAcentral describes it as "partial 18S ribosomal RNA". It matches the Rfam family "Eukaryotic small subunit ribosomal RNA", at positions 1470 to 1796 of the family's 1831-position model. The record is from RNAcentral.
CCCUUAGAUGUUCUGGGCUGCACGCGCGCUACACUGAAGCUAUCAACACGUUUUCCCUCCCUGAGAAGGGCGGGUAACCUUUUGAAUCAGCUUCGUGGUAGGGAUCGGGGCUUGCAAUUGUUCCCCGUGAACCAGGAAUUCCUAGUAGACGCGAGUCAUAAGCUCGCAUCGAUUAAGUCCCUGCCCGUUGUACACACCGCCCGUCGCUACUACCGAUUGAACGUUUUAGUGAGGCAUUUGGACCGACGCAUCUCAGUUUAACCGCUGGUUUGUGUUGGAAAGACUUCCAAACUUGAGCGUUUAGAGGAAGUAAAAGUCGUAACA